This 7656-nucleotide long non-coding RNA is filed under the name Nicotiana tabacum (common tobacco). RNAcentral's name for it is "long non-coding RNA (NTAB_LNC005302)". Lineage: Eukaryota; Viridiplantae; Streptophyta; Magnoliopsida; Solanales; Solanaceae. The record is from RNAcentral.
UUCAUUUAAAAGUGUCCUAAAGACCCUUACACCCCACCCCCCAAAAAAUAAAACACCCUCUCCAAUCCUCUCUUCUUGUCUCUCUCAAGCUCCGCCUAGAACCGCCACUGGAAAUCGUCUACGGCAGUGGACGGUCUUCAAAUCCAUCAAAAACAUCACCUCAUAAUCUCCUUCUCCCACUCAUCCUUAAUCUACCACCAUUUUCCCAACACCCCCCACUAAACUCGACGUCUAUUAGAUCUAGGAUUUGACCAGAACCCUAAAUUGUCCUCUUUCGAUUUUCUUUCAAAUCCUAACAUGUUUUGCAUUUUAACUUACAUCAAUCGAUUACUCUCGUUGAGAGCUAUCGAUUGAUGUUGAUUUUACACCAUUUCACGAUCGUCAGAGUUUAGUCAACUGCCAUUGACCACCACCGUCCUCACUCAGUGUUGCCGUUCUUCUUCCAACUUGCGAUGGACAGUGUUUCAUGCAUCACAAGAUGAGCUUCUAAGCUCAAACCUGUGGUCGUGAAGCACUGACCAUUGCUGGCCGGAAUUUCUUUCUCUGGUCGGCACAGAGUUUUGACAUGUAGUUUCAAUUUCCUUAGUGCCUAAUUUCAUUUCCUGUUUUAUCAUUUUUAUUAUUUAUCUCAGUAUGUCAGUAUACAUGUUUGAUUAGAAUGCCUCUGUUAGAAUUUUUUAUUAAGUCCUAUAGGUUAAUUUGUUUGAUUUAGGCAUGAUGAUUUAAAUUGAAUCAUUUGUUUAGAGUUUAGCUUGACUAGGAUUAGUUUAUUUGGGCUUGUUUUGAGUCCGAAUAGGCCCUGCAAUGACCAAGUGGGCAUUUUAGUCUGUUGGGCCAAGUAAAGGAAGACCCAGAACUGUUAUCGCCCAUUAUUUGAUGUCUGUAAGUGUAAAAGGUAAGACGAUAAAGAAUUUAGUUUAAAAUUGUCAUAGGAGCUUCUAGGAGAGUGUAUAAAAAGAUGCUUUAGCAAUAAAGAAAAGGAGGAGGUCAGGUGAGCGGGGGUGAUGGAGUGAAAACAGAAUUUGAAAAGGAGUUAAAAAUAAAAAGGAAAAUCUGAGAGGGGCCUUGAAGAGAAUCAGUUAUAAAAGGGCAUGCUCACACACACACAAUUCAUUCAUUCACUCCCCUACACACUCACUUUCACACAUACACUCUCAUUCUCAAUCACGCACCUCUCACCUGGAAAAAGCUGAAACAAAUUUUCAAAAAUUGAAAAAACUUCAAAAAGGAAAACCAGAUCUGAAGAACAAAAACCAAAAAGGAUUUCAAAAGCUGCUCUAAUUUCUGCUGCUUUACUUCAAUAUUUAAUGGUUUCUCAAGCUGUUUUGGGGCUGGAAAUUAAAGUUGUUAGCUGUUUUAUUGUUGAUCGUACUGCUGAACUCCAUCUUCUUCUUCUAGACCAUUAUUUGGUCAAUCCCUGCUUUUUCUCUGCUGUUUAGGUAUGUCUUAAAGACUUCCCUGUAUUUUGUCUUUCAUUGAAUGGUUAUAACACUGAACUCAUGUGAAAUCUCUGUAAGGUUGUUUGAUAUUUCAUUGUUGUUAUUCUGAACGCAUAUGACCUGUUUACUCUAUCGUGUUUUGAUCUUAGAGAAUGCUUGGGAUAAAUCGAACAUGAUGUUUACUAGAUUUCAUUGAUUUGCUGCUUCCAGCUAGGAAUGUUGUUGCUUAUUGUUUGUUCGCUUAGAACUUACAUUGCAUCUCUAGUAACAUCAAUUGCUAUCCAACUCUUCAAUUAGAUGUUGUGCAUGCUAUUGCUGUCGAAAAUUAUGAUUGUUUGAUGUCUCUGUGUUAUUAGCACUCUAGAACAUUCUGCAAACUCACAAGUAAUUCGAUCUGGGAGCUGCUGGCUAUUAAAUUCAUUAACAAUUGGAGGAUUGAUCUAACUAAAAGAAUCAGAAGCUUUAGCUGACACAAAUCAAACCUCUGUUUUAAAAGGCAGAAUUAGGACUCGCUCGGGUCGCCCUGGGGCGGAGCACUCGUAAAACGUCCUAGGCUUAUGUGUGGGGCUUAGUUCCGUGAGACUUACGCCCCCGACACGCCCAACGUCCAGCGUACUGGGCUCGCCUAAUCGAAAUUUAUGCAAUUGUGUGUAACUAACCUUGUAAAUCCUCACAUUUUCUUAAUAAAUCGUUGACUAUUCAAAAUUACUUUUGUCUUAAUGAUAAAUCAUUAAGUUUAGAGUAUUUUAUGCCAAAAUUAAAAUUAAAAUUAUCCACGUUAUCCACUAAGACUGCUAUGAUAGUAAAUUUUAAAUAAAUCUUUAAAAAGUAUUUAUUUAUUAACUUUUGUUAUGUCUUUAUUAUAUAAUAGUCCAUAAUUCUUUUUAUAAUUAUUUUCCUAAAUAUUUUUUUUUUUUUACGUUUACGAGAUACAAUACUUAUUAAUUUAAUAGCUUAGUAUUAGCUAGUAAAUAUUUACAAAUAAUUAGUUAUCAUGGUUUAGUAUGGUGAAUUAUGUGUCACUUUAUUAACUUGUUGAAACUUAAAAAUACAUGAUGCUAGAGAAUCAUAUUUAAAUUGUGAAUUAUGUUUUUAUAUAAAUUCUCUUUCAAAUAGAAAGCAUAUUAAAUAAAAGGAGUAUUUAAAUAAAAAAUCAAAUUAUAAUAUCGAAAUUCUUUCAAGAUCCAUUACUCCUUAAGAGAUACAUAUAAGAUUUCGUAUCGAAUACAUUACUUUUGAUAUUUGAGUUGUAACGAUGUUGCAACUAAUUUGCAUAUUAUGAUAUAUGUCAUACUUUUCAUAUUAUUCAUAGUUGAAUUAUAAUUUAUAAAUAUUGUAAAUAGAUUAUUUGUUAUAAUUUUGUGAUUUUAAUGUAAUUUUUAUUUUAUACUAUCUUAAAAUUCUUGAAAUUAGUAAAAUUUAAAAAUCUGUGGGACUUACGCCCCAUGUCUCAGGGCUUAUGCCUUGCCUCGUCAGAGGUAAAACGCAUCGCCUCACGCCCACACCUUUUAAAAUAUUGAAUCAAACACUGAGGAUUCAUUUGAUGUAAUCUGAAUGACAUUCAGUAAUUCUACAGUAGUAAUUUCUGAAAAUGGCCAUUGUUGUAAAGUUUCAAUUAGAAUCGCUGAUAUAAUGAUGUGAUUCUGUGAUUUAGAAAGUCAUGUAUUAAUCUAUGAAGUAGUGUGCCAUUAUUUCCAUUUAUCAUGUUGUGUUUUAAGCCUGCUGAAAUCCAAAUUGGAAUUGGUAGCUGUUGAAUUUUGAUUCCAAAAAUCGCUGGGCUGAGCGAUCAAUUCAGGCGAGAUUGCCUCCAGCCCGGAGUCGAUAGGUUUUAUACUCUAUAUAUAUUUGGGCUCAAUUUCAAGCCCAACAGCUACGUGCAAAAUUGUGUGAAAGGCAUGUUAAUUUCGGAGAGUGUUAUGAUAGCUUGGGCUUCAUUCUUAGCCCAGCGCUAUUCUCUUUUGGACCUGAUGGAGGUCAUGAUGUGAUUAAUGGACCUUUUAUAAGUAAAAAUUGCACGGGACGGCCUAUUUGGUCGCCCCCAUUUAACCUAUAUUCACUUUUUUAAAAAGUUUUAACUUGUACCCACUUUUUAAAUAAUUCAAGCCUCUUUCUCCUCCUUCGUUUUCUGAAUGCUGAAGCUUGAGAUAUUGUUAUGCGUUUUAACCUGAUGAUUCAUAUAUAUCUGCUUGUCCCAUUAUGUUCAGUUUGGUCUUAUUCACAAUAAUUUAACCUCUUAGAUAUUUUAGCUUUACAGGCACAUUGGUUUUUGGUUCUAAUUUAUAUGUAGUAACUUGUUUUCAUGUCGAAAAUAUUUUUCAUUCUUUAAUCUUUGAAAUAAACAGCAUCAAUCGCUGCUAAUCAUGAUCUANNNNNNNNNNNNNNNNNNNNNNNNNNNNNNNCAAAAACUUCAGCUCCUAAAAUACUGUAGUUCAGCAAAUACAAAACAAACUUCAGCCCUAGAAUGCUGAAGUUCAGCAAUUACAAAACAAACUUCAGCUCCUAGAAGACUGAAGUUCAGCAAUUACAAAAUAAAAACUUCAGCCAAAAUAUGUUGUAGUUUUAUUGAGUUGAAGUUUGCCACUACACUAUGAACUAAAGUUUGCGUGAUUUUCUUUGCAAGUCAGGCCAAACUUCAGGCAAAACAUUCUGAAGUUCAAACUUCAAACAUAAAUUUUUGGUACUUGAGACCCGUAUGUCUGAAGUUACCCGAAAAGUGGGUACGCUUGCAAUUUUUUUUGCAAAGCAGGUAUAAGUUAAAAGUUGACCCAAAAAUUGGGUAUAGAUGCAAAUGCCCCCUUUUAUAAUUAUCCACUUUUGUAUUAAUUAACGUUGAAUCAGUAAAUAAUAGACAAGUUUAGGUUACAUUCAAACUAUACCCAUCAAACUACUGGGUUAUGUUCAUACAUCUCAAUAAUGGAAUAAGCUUAUGUACGCAUACUCCCUAUCUUGAAAGUUUACACUGAAAAUUUAUGUUUCUUAUAUAUGCUUGUCUACAAUAGUUCCAUAAUUAUGAGCCAUUUUCACAGAUAAUCUCGAAUUUAAGAAAAUUAAUUAACUCUUGAAAAUUGUAGUUUGCCUUAGGUGCGACUAAUAGUAAUAUAUCGAGACUAUGGGUACGGUUCCCGUGGCAUAGUCAUGAUACGUAACUCCAAGUUUAAGUGCACGCUCGUGUAACUUGACCCCAAUUUCAAAGUAAUAGUAAAAUGAACAUGUCACAAAUUGUGGGUGCGUUGCGCAAUUUGCGAUGUAUAUAAAGCAACAAGUGUACGGCAUCAUAACUUAUUUUGAAAUAACUCCAUAAAUAUUAAAAAUGGUUCAAAUAAAAGCGGUAAAGGGUUAAGAUGCACAUAGGUUUAAAAUAUGUAAUAAUCAGAUAAUUAAGCCAAGUUUAAUUGUGAAGCGACCGUACUAAAAUAAAGAAAUCCGGGAGUGCCUCACACCUUCUCACAGGUUAACAAAAUUCCUUACCCCGUCUGCUGUAUUUCGCAGACUUUAACAGAGUCAAAAUUUCAUUGAUUUGGGAUUUUAAAAUAAAUGGCGACUUGGGACGCCGUAAAAAAUUAUUCCAAGUGGCGACUCUUAAAAUUAAAAUAAUUAAUCCCAUUUCAAUAAUGCCACUUAAAGUGAAAAAACUCUUUUCCCCGUAAAAAAAAAAAGGUUGACACCCAUGAGAAGAAUUAUCCGGCUCAUGAUUUGGAGUUGGAAACAAUUGUGCAUGUAGUUAAUAUUUGGAGGAAUUACUUGUAUGGUGUGUCAUGUGAGGUUUAAACUGAUCAUCAGAGUCUUCAGCAUUUAUUCAAACUGAAGGAUUUAAAUUUGAGACAGCAGAGGUGGUUGGAUGUGCUGAAGGAUUAUGAUAUCAUUAUAUUGUAUCACCGGGUAAGGCGAAUGUGGUAGGAGAUGCUUCAAGUAGUAAGGCAGAGAGUAUUGGUAGUUUGGCAUUUAUUCUAGUUGUGGAGAGGCCUUUGGCUAUGAUAUUCAGGCCUUGGCUAAUAAAUUUGCAAGAUUGGAUAUUUUCGAGCCUAGUAGAGUUCUUGCUUGUGUUGUUGCGCAAUCAUCCUUGAUUGAGUGAAUUAAGGAUCGUCAGUAUGAUGAUCCACAUUUGCUUGUCCUCAAGGACAUGGAAUCGUGAGGUGGUGCUACGAAGGUGAUCAUUGUGGAUAACAAUGUAUUACGACUCGAGGGUCAGAUUUGUGUCCCUAAUGUUGCUAGUUUGAGGGAUUUGAUUCCUCGGGAGGCUCACAGUUCGCAGUAUGCUAUUUAUCCAGGUGCUACAAAGAUGUAUCAUGAUUUGAAGCAGCGUUAUUGGUGGCAAAGAAUGACGAAAGACAUUGUUGGGCAUGUUUCGCGGUAUUUGAACUGUCAGCAGGUCAAGUAUGAGCAAUAGAAACUAGGGUUUGCUUCUUAAGAUGGAUAUACCGAAGUGGAUGUAGGAGCGCAUUACUAUGGACUUUGUGGUAAGAUUGCCACAGACCUCGAGGAAGUUUGAUGUUAUUUGGGUUAUUGCGGAUAGAUUGACCAAGUGUGCACAUUUUGUUCUAGUCAUGACUUCUUACACUUAGAGAAGUUGGCUCAGAUCUACAUCAGAGAGAUUGUCCAUUUGCAUGGCAUGCCUAUUUCUAUCAUCUCAAACUAUGGUACUCAGUUCACGUCGCACUUUUGGGGAGUUGUUCAGCAAGGGUUGGGCACGCAAGUGGAGCUUAGCACUGCAUUUCACUCACAGACGGAUAGGAAGUUCGAGCGGACUAUUCAGAUCCUUGAAGAUAUGUUGAGAGCCUGUGUUAUUGAUUUUGGAGGUCAUUUGGAUCAAUUUCUGCCAUUGGCAAAUUUGCUUAAAACAACAGCUACCGGUCAGUAUUCAGAUGGUGCCGUAUGAGGCUUUAUAUGGUAGAUAGUGACAUUCUCUACUUGGUUGGUUUGAGCCUAGUGACGCUGGGUUGUUGGGUACAGAUUUGGUUCGUGAUGUUUUAGUGGCUUAUGCAUAGUUAGGUUAUGACCAUAUCCGGUAGAGUUUGCCUUGUUUGGACCAUGUGAUUUCAUUAUCCAUAUUUCAUUGAUUGUAUGAUUAUGUGAUAACUCAUAAUUAUGAUUAAGGAGCAUGCUUAAGGUUAUAAAUUGUUAAAUUGGGAAUAAAGCAUUAUUUUUACAUGCUUAUUAAGUUGUAGUCAUACACUUGACUUAAUUGACUCAUGAUUUGGUGGUUAAAUGUCUUAAUUUACUCAUGUUAAAUGUUAUGAUUAGACUUUUGAAUGUUAAAAUAGCUUAUUGAACUAAAUAGCUUAUUGAACUAUUAUGAUAAAUUGAAUUACAUGAAUAGCCAUAGCCAUCUUUUAGCUAUGUGCGCUUUUAUCGGCAUUUCUAUUGUUAUAUUCUAAUGCCUUUUAAUUAUAUUAUUUUAUACACAUAUGCAUGAGUUGGAUAUUGAGAAAAGUUGAGGAUUUUGGCAUUAAGGAUACUAUGAGCGGUUAUUGAUUAUUGAUAAUUGAUCAUUGAUUGUAAAAUAAUCAAUGCUUGGAUAUGGAUUCGUUCCUCCGAAGUCAGGUGAUUACCUAUGUUACUUUGGGCCCUGUGAGCAUAGACACUCAUGUUUGGUGCUUGGUUUGGACACAUGGCCUAUGUCAACCACAUGGAUUUGUGUUGUGAGGUAUUGAGAAGGGAUCCUGAGCAUGCAUAUUUAUGUAUCUUAGAUUCAUGCAGUUUCUUUUAUAUAUAUGUUUGUUGAUAUACAUCAUGUCUUUAUUCGAGGACUGAGGCAUUUGACAUCUCAUUCAAUCUCUUUUAUCUGCAAAGUAUGCCUAAAUUCCACAUUUACUGUGUCUUUAGCUUUCGUACCUAUUUGAUGAUACUAUGCCUUAUUUCUCAUCUUUUUAUGCUUUCACUUGAUUAUUUAAUUGUUAGUAAAUGUCUAUGUCGACCCCUCGCUACUACUUCUUCAAGGAUAGACUUGAUACUUAUUGAGUACCAUAAUUUUGUACUCAUACUACGCUUCUGCACAUUUUUGUGUAGGUCCUGAGGCAGGUACUAGUGGUACCCAUUCAGCUGAGUAGGAGUAUUUGUUGGAGACUUCAUCAUGAGCUGCUUCACUUGAUCUGAUCCACAACACAUUGAGUCCCCCUUCCCUACUUGUCUACCUCUGUCUAUGUAUUUCCUUUACGGACAGAUGUUUUUGAUUAGUUUGAGACUAUUUACUUUUAUUAGAUGUUCGUGAUAAUUUGAC